Molecule: ribosomal RNA, 2126 nt
Filed under: Pseudomonas antarctica
Lineage: Bacteria; Pseudomonadati; Pseudomonadota; Gammaproteobacteria; Pseudomonadales; Pseudomonadaceae
Description: bacterial LSU rRNA
Rfam family: Bacterial large subunit ribosomal RNA
Source: RNAcentral
UAUGGUCAAGUGAAGAAGCGCAUACGGUGGAUGCCUUGGCAGUCAGAGGCGAUGAAAGACGUGGUAGCCUGCGAAAAGCUUCGGGGAGUCGGCAAACAGACUUUGAUCCGGAGAUGUCUGAAUGGGGGAACCCAGCCAUCAUAAGAUGGUUACCUUACACUGAAUACAUAGGUGUAAGGGGCGAACCAGGGGAACUGAAACAUCUAAGUACCCUGAGGAAAAGAAAUCAACCGAGAUUCCCUUAGUAGUGGCGAGCGAACGGGGACUAGCCCUUAAGUGGCUUUGAGAUUAGCGGAACGCUCUGGAAAGUGCGGCCAUAGUGGGUGAUAGCCCUGUACGCGAAAAUCUCUUAGUCAUGAAAUCGAGUAGGACGGAGCACGAGAAACUUUGUCUGAAUAUGGGGGGACCAUCCUCCAAGGCUAAAUACUACUGACUGACCGAUAGUGAACUAGUACCGUGAGGGAAAGGCGAAAAGAACCCCGGAGAGGGGAGUGAAAUAGAUCCUGAAACCGUAUGCGUACAAGCAGUGGGAGCCCACUUUGUUGGGUGACUGCGUACCUUUUGUAUAAUGGGUCAGCGACUUAUUUUCAGUGGCGAGCUUAACCGAAUAGGGGAGGCGUAGCGAAAGCGAGUCUUAAUAGGGCGUCUAGUCGCUGGGAAUAGACCCGAAACCGGGCGAUCUAUCCAUGGGCAGGUUGAAGGUUGGGUAACACUAACUGGAGGACCGAACCGACUACCGUUGAAAAGUUAGCGGAUGACCUGUGGAUCGGAGUGAAAGGCUAAUCAAGCUCGGAGAUAGCUGGUUCUCCUCGAAAGCUAUUUAGGUAGCGCCUCAUGUAUCACUGUAGGGGGUAGAGCACUGUUUCGGCUAGGGGGUCAUCCCGACUUACCAAACCGAUGCAAACUCCGAAUACCUACAAGUGCCGAGCAUGGGAGACACACGGCGGGUGCUAACGUCCGUCGUGAAAAGGGAAACAACCCAGACCGUCAGCUAAGGUCCCAAAGUUAUGGUUAAGUGGGAAACGAUGUGGGAAGGCUUAGACAGCUAGGAGGUUGGCUUAGAAGCAGCCACCCUUUAAAGAAAGCGUAAUAGCUCACUAGUCGAGUCGGCCUGCGCGGAAGAUGUAACGGGGCUCAAACCAUACACCGAAGCUACGGGUAUCACGUAAGUGAUGCGGUAGAGGAGCGUUCUGUAAGCCUGUGAAGGUGAGUUGAGAAGCUUGCUGGAGGUAUCAGAAGUGCGAAUGCUGACAUGAGUAACGACAAUGGGUGUGAAAAACACCCACGCCGAAAGACCAAGGUUUCCUGCGCAACGUUAAUCGACGCAGGGUUAGUCGGUCCCUAAGGCGAGGCUGAAAAGCGUAGUCGAUGGAAAACAGGUUAAUAUUCCUGUACUUCUGGUUAUUGCGAUGGAGGGACGGAGAAGGCUAGGCCAGCUUGGCGUUGGUUGUCCAAGUUUAAGGUGGUAGGCUGGAAUCUUAGGUAAAUCCGGGAUUCUAAGGCCGAGAGCUGAUGACGAGUUAACUUUUAGUUAACGAAGUGGUUGAUGCCAUGCUUCCAAGAAAAGCUUCUAAGCUUCAGGUAACCAGGAACCGUACCCCAAACCGACACAGGUGGUUGGGUAGAGAAUACCAAGGCGCUUGAGAGAACUCGGGUGAAGGAACUAGGCAAAAAUGGCACCGUAACUUCGGGAGAAGGUGCGCCGGUGAGGGUGAAGGACUUGCUCCGUAAGCUCAUGCCGGUCGAAGAUACCAGGCCGCUGCGACUGUUUAUUAAAAACACAGCACUCUGCAAACACGAAAGUGGACGUAUAGGGUGUGACGCCUGCCCGGUGCCGGAAGGUUAAUUGAUGGGGUUAGCUAACGCGAAGCUCUUGAUCGAAGCCCCGGUAAACGGCGGCCGUAACUAUAACGGUCCUAAGGUAGCGAAAUUCCUUGUCGGGUAAGUUCCGACCUGCACGAAUGGCGUAACGAUGGCGGCGCUGUCUCCACCCGAGACUCAGUGAAAUUGAAAUCGCUGUGAAGAUGCAGUGUAUCCGCGGCUAGACGGAAAGACCCCGUGAACCUUUACUAUAGCUUUGCACUGGACUUUGAAUUUGCUUGUGUAGGAUAGGUGGGAGGCUUUGA